Molecule: ribosomal RNA, 433 nt
Filed under: uncultured bacterium
Lineage: Bacteria
Description: partial 16S ribosomal RNA
Rfam family: Bacterial small subunit ribosomal RNA
Source: RNAcentral
AACGAACGCUGGCGGCAUGCCUAACACAUGCAAGUCGAACGAGACCUUCGGGUCUAGUGGCGCACGGGUGCGUAACGCGUGGGAACCUGCCCUUAGGUUCGGAAUCACUCCCCGAAAGGGGUGCUAAUACCGGAUAAUGUCUUCGGACCAAAGAUUUAUCGCCUUUGGAUGGGCCCGCGUUGGUUUAGCUAGUUGGUAGGGUAAAAGCCUACCAAGGCGACGAUCCAUAGCUGGUCUGAGAGGAUGAUCAGCCACACUGGGACUGAGACACGGCCCAGACUCCUACGGGAGGCAGCAGUGGGGAAUAUUGGGCAAUGGGCGAAAGCCUGAUCCAGCAAUGCCGCGUGAGUGAUGAAGGCCUUAGGGUUGUAAAGCUCUUUUACCCGGGAUGAUAAUGACAGUACCGGGAGAAUAAGCUCCGGCUAACUCCGUG